ACUAGGAUUUAUCCUGGGGUCACAAUGGGCUUGAUUUGCAAACUUUAUUUAGCGAGGAACAAUUGGAGGGCAAGUCUGGUGCCAGCAGCCGCGGUAAUUCCAGCUCCAAUAGUGUAUAUUAAUGUUCCUGCAGUUAUUCGAUGCUCGUAGUUGGAUUUCUGGGGGCUGAGAUUGGAAGGUGGCCAAGGUCACCGCCGAACUCUUCCUUCAUCCACCUGUUAACGUUGUCCGGGAUUUGUUUCUCGGCUUCAGGCUCAGGUAUUUUACCCUUUCUAUAUAUUCAUUUAUUUAUCUUCUUUUUGAGUAAAUUAUAGUGUUUCAGGCAGGCGUGCGCCGGAAUACUUUAGCAUGGAAUAAUCGAAUUGGACCGUGUAUUCUUAUAGAAUUCUUCCUUAUUUGUUGGUUUCAAGGACACGGAAAUGGUUAAUAGGGAUAGUGUUUUCAGGGGAGGCAUUAGUAUUUAAUUUCCAGAGGUGAAAUUCUUUGAAAUAUUAAAGACUAACUUAUGCGAAAGCAUUUAUUUUGCCAAUAAUGUUUUCAUUAAUCAUUGAACGAAAGUUAGGGGAUCAAAGACGAUCAGAUACCGUCCUAGUCUUAACCAUAAACGUUGCCGACUAGGGAUCGGAGGGCGUGCACAUUCCGCCUUCGGCACCUUACGAGAAAUCAAAGUCUUUUGGGUUCUGGGGGUAGUAUGGUCGCAAGGCUGAAACUUAAAGGAAUUGACGGAAGGGCACCACCAGGAGUGGAGCUUGCGGCUCAAUUUGACUCAACACGGGAAAUCUUACCAGGUCCAGACAUAGCGAGGAUUGACAGAUUGAUAGCUCUUUCUUGAUUCUAUGGGUAUUUAUUUUAAUUUUGGUGGUGCAUGGCCGUUCUUAGUUGGUGGAGUGAUUUAUCUGGUUAAUUCCGUUAAACGAACGAGACCUCAGCCUGCUAAAUAGUUACCUGUCUUUCUUUUACGAGACUUGAUAACUUCUUAGAGGGACGUUGUGUGCAACCACAAGGAAGUUGAGGCAAUAACAGGUCUGUGAUGCCCUUAGAUGUCCUGGGCCGCACGCGUGCUACACUGAUACGUACAACAAGGUAUAUGCAUUUAUGCAUCGAUGCUGCUCCGAAAUAGACACAGCUAAAUCUUCUAAAAUACGUAUCGUGCUGCGGAUAGAUCGUUGAAAUUAUGGAUCUUGAAGGUGGAAUUCCUAGUAAGCGCGGGUCAUCAACCCGCGUUGAUUACGUCCCUGCCCUUUGUACACACCGCCCGUCGCUCCUACCAAUUUCGAGUGGCUCGGUGAACCUCUUUGGACUGUCGAGCAAUCGCGAAAUUAGAGUGAACCUGGUCAC
RNAcentral lists this ribosomal RNA (1338 nucleotides) under metagenome. RNAcentral's name for it is "SSU rRNA". It matches the Rfam family "Eukaryotic small subunit ribosomal RNA", at positions 487 to 1772 of the family's 1831-position model. The record is from RNAcentral.